RNAcentral lists this ribosomal RNA (1340 nucleotides) under uncultured bacterium. RNAcentral's name for it is "partial 16S ribosomal RNA". It matches the Rfam family "Bacterial small subunit ribosomal RNA", at positions 28 to 1381 of the family's 1533-position model. The record is from RNAcentral.
GACGAACGCUGGCGGCGUGCUUAACACAUGCAAGUCGAACGGUAAGGCUCCAGCUUGCUGGGGUACACGAGUGGCGAACGGGUGAGUAACACGUGGGUGACCUGCCCUGCACUUCGGGAUAAGCCUGGGAAACUGGGUCUAAUACCGGAUAGGACCGCACCGUGAGGGUGUGGUGGAAAGUUUUUUCGGUGUGGGAUGGGCCCGCGGCCUAUCAGCUUGUUGGUGGGGUAAUGGCCUACCGAGGCGGCGACGGGUAGCCGGCCUGAGAGGGUGGACGGCCACAUUGGGUCUGAGACACGGCCCAGACUCCUACGGGAGGCAGCAGUGGGGAAUAUUGCACAAUGGGCGGAAGCCUGAUGCAGCGACGCCGCGUGGGGGAUGACGGCCUUCGGGUUGUAAACUCCUUUCACCAUCGACGAAGGGUUUCUGACGGUAGAUGGAGAAGAAGCACCGGCUAACUACGUGCCAGCAGCCGCGGUAAUACGUAGGGUGCGAGCGUUGUCCGGAAUUACUGGGCGUAAAGAGCUCGUAGGUGGUUUGUCGCGUCGUCUGUGAAUUCCGGGGCUUAACUCCGGGCGUGCAGGCGAUACGGGCAUAACUUGAGUACUGUAGGGGAGACUGGAAUUCCUGGUGUAGCGGUGAAAUGCGCAGAUAUCAGGAGGAACACCGGUGGCGAAGGCGGGUCUCUGGGCAGUAACUGACGCUGAGGAGCGAAAGCAUGGGGAGCGAACAGGAUUAGAUACCCUGGUAGUCCAUGCCGUAAACGGUGGGCGCUAGGUGUGGGUUUCCUUCCACGGGAUCCGUGCCGUAGCUAACGCAUUAAGCGCCCCGCCUGGGGAGUACGGCCGCAAGGCUAAAACUCAAAGGAAUUGACGGGGGCCCGCACAAGCGGCGGAGCAUGUGGAUUAAUUCGAUGCAACGCGAAGAACCUUACCUGGGCUUGACAUAUACAGGAUCGCGCCAGAGAUGGUGUUUCCCUUGUGGCUUGUAUACAGGUGGUGCAUGGUUGUCGUCAGCUCGUGUCGUGAGAUGUUGGGUUAAGUCCCGCAACGAGCGCAACCCUUGUCUUAUGUUGCCAGCACGUUGUGGUGGGGACUCGUAAGAAACUGCCGGGGUUAACUCGGAGGAAGGUGGGGAUGACGUCAAAUCAUCAUGCCCCUUAUGUCCAGGGCUUCACACAUGCUACAAUGGUCGGUACAGUGGGUUGCCAGUCCGUGAGGGCGAGCUAAUCCCGCAAAGCCGGUCUCAGUUCGGAUCGGGGUCUGCAACUCGACCCCGUGAAGUCGGAGUCGCUAGUAAUCGCAGAUCAGCAACGCUGCGGUGAAUACGUUCCCGGGCCU